Molecule: ribosomal RNA, 515 nt
Filed under: uncultured Bradyrhizobium sp.
Lineage: Bacteria; Pseudomonadati; Pseudomonadota; Alphaproteobacteria; Hyphomicrobiales; Nitrobacteraceae
Description: bacterial SSU rRNA
Rfam family: Bacterial small subunit ribosomal RNA
Source: RNAcentral
UGGGAACAUACCUUUUGGUUCGGAACAACACAGGGAAACUUGUGCUAAUACCGGAUAAGCCCUUACGGGGAAAGAUUUAUCGCCGAAAGAUUGGCCCGCGUCUGAUUAGCUAGUUGGUGAGGUAACGGCUCACCAAGGCGACGAUCAGUAGCUGGUCUGAGAGGAUGAUCAGCCACAUUGGGACUGAGACACGGCCCAAACUCCUACGGGAGGCAGCAGUGGGGAAUAUUGGACAAUGGGCGCAAGCCUGAUCCAGCCAUGCCGCGUGAGUGAUGAAGGCCCUAGGGUUGUAAAGCUCUUUUGUGCGGGAAGAUAAUGACGGUACCGCAAGAAUAAGCCCCGGCUAACUUCGUGCCAGCAGCCGCGGUAAUACGAAGGGGGCUAGCGUUGCUCGGAAUCACUGGGCGUAAAGGGUGCGUAGGUGGGUCUUUAAGUCAGGGGUGAAAUCCUGGAGCUCAACUCCAGAACUGCCUUUGAUACUGAAGAUCUUGAGUUCGGGAGAGGUGAGUGGAACU